AGUAUGGCUCAGUUGGUAGAGCAGCUGAUUCGUAAUCAGCAGGCCGUCGGUUCAAGUCCGACUACU
Molecule: transfer RNA, 66 nt
Filed under: uncultured Gemmiger sp.
Lineage: Bacteria; Bacillati; Bacillota; Clostridia; Eubacteriales; Oscillospiraceae
Rfam family: tRNA
About the family: Transfer RNA (tRNA) molecules are approximately 80 nucleotides in length.
Source: RNAcentral